GAUGAAGAACGUAGCGAAAUGCGAUACUUGGUGUGAAUUGCAGAAUCCCGUGAACCAUCGAGUCUUUGAACGCAAGUUGCGCCCGAAGCCACUAGGUCGAGGGCACGCCUGCCUGGGCGUCACACGCCGUUGCCCCCCCAUCUACUCCUUCGGGAUUGCGGGGGGGCGGAUGAUGGCCUCCUGUGCGCCUAGCCGCGCGGUUGGCAUAAAUACCAAGUCCUCGGCGACGCACGCCACGACAAUCGGUGGUUGCGAAACCUCGGUUGCCCGUCGUGUGCGUUCGUCGCGCAUCGAGGGCUCGAAAAAAUGCUCGGCUCCGGCUGGGCUUUCAACGCGACCCCAGGUCAGGCGGGGUUACCCGCUGAAUUUAAGCAUAUCAAUAAGCGGAGGA
RNAcentral lists this unclassified non-coding RNA (391 nucleotides) under soil metagenome. Its description in RNAcentral is "partial contains 5.8S ribosomal RNA, internal transcribed spacer 2, and large subunit ribosomal RNA". The stretch from base 1 to 122 matches the Rfam family "5.8S ribosomal RNA", at positions 35 to 154 of the family's 154-position model. The record is from RNAcentral.